AUGCACAUCGAGAAAAACAUAUGUGAAAACCUCAUUGGGACAAUUUUGAACUUAGAGGGGAAGACAAAGGACACACUCAAUGCUAGGAUUGAUCUCCAAGAUUUGAAUAUUAAAGAGGAGUUGAAAUUGAGGAAUGAAGGAAACUCAUAUGUGAUGCCACGGGCACGAUAUACCUUGUCCAAAGAACAAGUGGUUGCAUUUUGUCAAUUUCUACGGGAGUUAAAGUUUCUGGAUGGAUUUGCUUCCAACAUAUCAAGAUGUACAAGUGCUGAUGGUACCAAGGUACAAGGCCUUAAAACACAUGAUUGUCACAUUCUUCUGCAAAGAAUCUUACCCGCUGGCAUGAGUGGAUUUUUGGACAGUGAUAUAUAUCAAGCAAUAGCUGAGUUAGGCAAGUUUUUCAGGGAACUAUGCAGCAAAAAUCUUAAUAGGGAUGUGUUGGCUGAAAUGAAGAAAGAAAUCUCUAUAAUUUUGUGCAAGCUUGAGAAAAUUUCCCCCCCUGCUUUCUUUGAUGUGAUGGUGCACCUUGCAGUACAUUUACCUGAAGAGGCAUUGCUUCGAGGUCCCUUAUAA
Molecule: ribosomal RNA, 573 nt
Filed under: Triticum aestivum (bread wheat)
Lineage: Eukaryota; Viridiplantae; Streptophyta; Magnoliopsida; Poales; Poaceae
Description: partial small subunit ribosomal RNA
Source: RNAcentral